RNAcentral lists this ribosomal RNA (387 nucleotides) under uncultured bacterium. RNAcentral's name for it is "bacterial SSU rRNA". It matches the Rfam family "Bacterial small subunit ribosomal RNA", at positions 28 to 417 of the family's 1533-position model. The record is from RNAcentral.
GACGAACGCUGGCGGCGUGCUUAACACAUGCAAGUCGAGCGGUAAGGCCCUUUCGGGGGUACACGAGCGGCGAACGGGUGAGUAACACGUGGGUGACCUGCCCUUAGCUCUGGGAUAAGCCUGGGAAACUGGGUCUAAUACCGGACAUGACUCCAUGACGCAUGUUGUGGGGUGGAAAGCCUUGUGCGGCUAGGGAUGGGCCCGCGGCCUAUCAGCUUGUUGGUGGGGUGAUGGCCACCAAGGCGACGACGGGUAGCCGGCCUGAGAGGGCGACCGGCCACACUGGGACUGAGACACGGCCCAGACUCCUACGGGAGGCAGCAGUGGGGAAUCUUGCGCAAUGGGCGAAAGCCUGACGCAGCGACGCCGCGUGAGGGAUGACGGCCU